This 388-nucleotide long non-coding RNA is filed under the name Equus asinus (donkey). RNAcentral describes it as "lncRNA (ENSEASG00005036270.1)". Lineage: Eukaryota; Metazoa; Chordata; Mammalia; Perissodactyla; Equidae. The record is from RNAcentral.
CCCAAACAGCCCGUCGGGCCGGCGCGUGCUAGGGAGGCGGGGUCUCGGGGCUGGGGGCGGGGCCUUGGCGGAGGCUGGCGCUGCGGCCGCUUUGGGCUCUGUCUCUGGACUCGAGCGCAGCAUCCUCGCCGCAGCCGCUACGGCUGCUGCACCUGGUCAGGUGACAUUCACCCACACUGUUUCCUUCUUUAAUCAUCAUCAUCACCACGACCACCACCAUCAACAUUUCCUUCCUCCACCAGAGCUCUUCAAGUUCUGCAAAGACAGACUCAGUUCAGGCAUGCCUGGUGGCAUCACAUUUUUGACAUCUCAAAGCCUGGAGCCUGCCCAAGCGAAGGUUCGAUCUAGGUAAGAAGGUGGACUAAAUCAUUGCCGCAUGUUGUACUUC